CCGACUCUCCCUCCAUCUUUCUUCUCUCCUGCAAAUCCCUAAACCUUUCACCUUUUCAACGGCGAUUUCCCCUCUUCUCGGUCGAAUAUCGGUUCUCGUCUGGGCUGACUGAGACCAUUCACCCCUUCAACGACGAUUUCCCCUCUUUUCGAUCGAAUAUUGCUUCUCGUCUGGGCUGACUGGCCAUUCAACUUGGGCAUUCCAAUUGUUGCUCUUAUUUUCAACGAGUGAAGUCGUCUGCUGUUCAUUGCAGUUAAGGUAAGUUCGUUAUCUAUUUCUUACAUUAUUCGGUAUGUUAGAUGUUUUCUGGGUCUUCAAUCUAAUUGCAGUUAAGGACAAUGAAACAUGGAUGCCUAAGUUGAUAGCAGCAGCUAGCUGUUCUUAACUUUGUAUGUCAAAAGCUGCAAUUAUAGUAGUAUUUACCCUUCAAAGUCAUGUUUUCUGUUGUAAUUACAGAAUAAGGCCAUUAAAGUCAGCAAUGUUUGUUUAGAAGCAACCGAGAAUUGUUUUCCUUUUCUGCUGAUAUUGAAUAUGUUUGAAAUGCAUAGGUUGAAAUUCAAAUAAUUUAGAUGAUGGUGAAUAAUUUAAAAAUAUAUAUGCAUAUAUUCCUCGUUGUAUAAUCAUGAUUCAUGAAAAUGAUAAGAGAGAUUGUGUGACUAUCUA
Gossypium raimondii (Peruvian cotton) is the source of this 663-nucleotide long non-coding RNA. RefSeq lists it as uncharacterized. The record is from RefSeq and is a predicted model, not a curated record. NCBI's taxonomy places the organism in Eukaryota, Viridiplantae, Streptophyta, Magnoliopsida, Malvales, Malvaceae. The transcript is spliced from 3 exons.